GCUUCCUCAGCUGUGCUGAGCUGUCCCCUCUCUGUGGUUGAGCCUGUGGCCUGCUCUGGCUACUUCCCCCUCCAGCUCAGGUCCAGCCCUGCUCUUGACCCCACAGGUUCCCACGCACAGCUGUCAAGGCACCUCACAACCUGAUACCACCAGGGUCCCCUCCCCUCACCUGAUGUCCAGCCUCUCUGGGCCCACGCACUAUCUCCCCUGCUCCUGGAAGGCCUUGGAGACCAAGGUCCCUGCACAGCAGGGCUUGGUCUUUCCCAACAUGUUUUGUGGAAUGACCCAGCCACCACCACCACCAUCAAUGCCCAACUUCAAGUGGGAGGGGACCUUCGUGUACACCCGGUGCCUACGAGAAGAGGUCCAGCUUGCUUAUGCCCUUUUGGAUAAGAGGGCCCUGGCCAUCCUGGACAGAGGCCUCAGCACCUGCAGGUGAAAUGGUAAAUCGUAUUCCUGUUACUUCACACUGACUGGAACUGGAGGCUGAGGCUGCUGUUCCACAUUUCCUGGUGCCCUGGCCUUGUGGAAAGAAUUUGAUUCAGUCUACGUUUGGCAAAAGAAGAAAUAUGAUGGUGAUUGACCACAUCCUUGCUCUUCAGGAUGUUCCCCAGAUACCAGCUGUGACAUCCCCAAGGAGCUCGCCAAAACACAGACUCUCAGGCUUCACCCCAGACCUGCUAUGACAGGUGGCUUAGGUGAUCUAGAGAAGAGUGAAGUUCAGGCUGAAGAGGGCAGAAAACCUAGUCUUCGUGGUAUAAAGAGGAGAAAGCUACUCAAAGCUCUAAAAUCCGGGCUGCAUAUCCUGUUUGAGACUCUCCCUUUGCAUUUUCCCUAAGAAUAAAAAGUCUUCAUCUGAAGAUUCAUCAUAUGGUAAGUAAAAUUAUUCCAUUUGGGACAAGAAGAUUAGUCCAAAAAUCUAGUUUGUUUUUCUUCUGAGUCCAAUCAAAACUUCUCAUAAACUCUAUUGGUCUGGGUCUUAGUGUUAUUUAGAGGAAAUUAAUUUUAUUCUUGUACACAAGCGCCUUACAUAUUCAAAGGUUGCUGCAGAGUAGAUUUGUCACACACACACAUUCCACAUUCUAACUUUUCCCCAACAGUGUGAUAGGGAAUAGAAGCCAGUGCUCUUUCCCUGGAAGAAAGUGUGUCAGAGGGAACACCUUCAGUUUCCCUCUAGUGCACCUCUAAACCCAUCUAUCUUGUGCCGUUUUCAAGUGUCCUCUUCUAAGUGUGCUUCCUCCACCCGUGCAGUAGUCCUACCAUUGUUCCGUAUUUUUAGUUUCCUUCUCCUAUUGGAAUAUUUGCAUUUUUAUUAUACCAUUGUCACAUCACUCUUAAGUUCCGCUUACCUGUCACCCUCCCUGAGAUAUCCUGGUGUCUCUCUCUUCCUCUUCAAAGCUGAUCCCACCUACUUUGCCAGAGCCUAUUUGCACCUUAAAAGACUUGCAUCUGGUGACUCAACUUUGAGGGAUCCCUGGGGGCUAAUAUCAAAGCUAGCCCAAACUGUGAGCCUCAGAUGCCCUCAGUGCCAUUUGGUAAACCCAAAACAACUGCAACAAAUAGAAACCACUCAUUACGUGGGACUAUACCUAAAAAAACAUUGAGAAAUAGACUUUACAAAAAUGGGAAAGCCUGGACUUCAAAAAAAAAAAAACAAAAAAAAAAAACAGGUACUUAUUAGUAAUGAUAGAUAUUUUUUACUAGAUGGGUUAAAGCAUUGCCUACUAAGUCUGAGUCAGCCCUGAUAGUUCCCUGAUUUGGCCUCCCUUUAUCCGUGGGGUCCGACAAUGGCCCGGCUUUUAUAGCCCAGAUAACUCAAAAACUAACCUUAGCUUUGCAGAUCAAUUGGAAACUCCAUUGUGCUUAUCGGCCUCAAAGUUCAGGACAAGAAAAAAAGAUAAGUCAGAUUUUAAAGACAAUAAUUACUAAUGGCCUUAAACACUAGCAAGAACUGGGUGCAUCUCCUUCCUUUUGCUCUUUUGUAUGUGUGAUAUACCCUCUAUGUUCCAGGUAUUUUCCCUUUCAAGGCUUUGUAUGGGAGACCACUUCCUCUUAUCCUUAAGGUUUCUAAAAAAAAAGAAUUAGCUGAUUUAGCUAAUCAAGAUCUUAUUAAGUACCCCCCAGACUUUUCAGCCAGUUCUGACCUCCAUCCACUGGUUAUUUCAAUGAGGACAAACGCCCUGCUGUAGAGCCUGAGACACCACCGGUCCUUAUCAAGCAACAUCACUGUGAAUCUCUUGAGCUGUGAUGGUAGCCAAAAAGCCUGCCUGGAUUCAUCAUUCCCACUUCAAAAAAGUCCCAGUUUCCAAAGGCAAUCAACCUAUGGAUAAGUGGACUGUCGUUCCCUCCAAGGAGUCUUUCAAGCUUAAGAUGGCCAAAUGUAACUGAUAAUCUUGUGUUCUCCCUUAUAGAGACCCCAAAGAGGCCUCUGUCUGAGUUAAAAAAAAAAAAAAUUGUUACUUGUAUGACUGAACAGAGUAAAUUUAAAUGUUGGUUUUCUUUCUCCUUUUGGUUAACAGCUUUAAUAAUGACAGCUGCAAGACCUUUGUUGAUUCUCCUAUUGGGCUUUGUAUUGUAAACAAGCUGAUAAACUGUCAAAGAUCUUAAAAGCUUAUGAUUUUAAAGGCACACGCAAGGUUAUAAACAGAUACCAAUGAGUCAAUAAUUUGACUCACUGACAAAAUCAGUGGGGAACGUUGUACACUAGCAAAAAGAGCUUCGUUAUAUUUGUAUUAUAUCAAAAUACCUGUAAUGUUACCCUAACUGUUCUGUUAAUGUUUUUCUUCUCCUUUCUCCCUCUGGGUGACCUAAUAUGUUAACCAUUGCUGCCCUCUCUAAAUAACAGAUGUGGUGCUAAAAUAAGAUAACAAAAGGUUGUUAAUUGCUGCUAGACUCCUCUGUUCUCUGCUGAGGAAAACAAAGAUCUUCAUUAGCCGAUUUCCAGAUCCACACCCAUACCCCUUACUUUGUAAACAGUGAUACAUAUAUAAAGGCUGCAAGUAUGGGGGAGCCACACACCCAGCUUUUGCAAUCUCCAACUGUACUGGGCCCAGGAUAAAAUAAAUCAGCACUGUUUUUUAAAAUA
Cavia porcellus (domestic guinea pig) is the source of this 3085-nucleotide long non-coding RNA. RefSeq lists it as uncharacterized. Lineage: Eukaryota; Metazoa; Chordata; Mammalia; Rodentia; Caviidae. The record is from RefSeq and is a predicted model, not a curated record. The transcript is spliced from 3 exons.